CGUAAAGGGUGUGUAGGCCGACUGCCCCACCCCCCCCCAAGGUGGUAAAUGGAAUUUUUCUGUAGCGGUAGAAUGUGCGGAUAGAAAAUAGAACCCCAAAAGCAGAAGCAAUUUACCGCAGGGCGGGAGGGGGCCCCCUAGGGCGCCCCCCGGGCUACGGGCUGAAACACGAGGGUGUGGGGAACAAACAGGAUUAGAGACCCUGGUAGUCCACACUGUAAACGAUGGAGAAAAUGCGAAUGCAGCCCCGAAAGGCAGCAAUCUCCCGCCUGAGUAGUACGAUCGCAAGAUUAAAAUUCAAAAAAUUUGGCUGUUCACCAUUUCGAUUAGAGGAGCGUGUAGUUUAAUUCGAUAAACCGCGAGAUACCUUACCCAAACUUGAAUCCUUGAGGAUUCCAAGGAAUCCUUAUGGACCGGUAUUGCAUGGCCGUCGUCAGUUCGUGUAUGAAACCUUAAACGGACCCAACCCGAGGAUUAGCCGCGGAUGAAGUCAGGUCUUAUGGUCCCAAUGUUUGGGGAUAAUAUGCGCUACAUUUUCUUAUACAAUGGGAAACCUGGGAGGUGAAACCCCAAAGUGAGAGUUCGGUAGGCUAUUGGAAGAUGGCCGAAAGUUGAAUUUAAUAGUAAUC
This 629-nucleotide ribosomal RNA is filed under the name Hydrozoanthus aff. tunicans MISE-JDR170609-2-7. Its description in RNAcentral is "partial small subunit ribosomal RNA". It matches the Rfam family "Bacterial small subunit ribosomal RNA", at positions 559 to 1343 of the family's 1533-position model. The record is from RNAcentral. Lineage: Eukaryota; Metazoa; Cnidaria; Anthozoa; Zoantharia; Hydrozoanthidae.